This 253-nucleotide ribosomal RNA is filed under the name uncultured bacterium. RNAcentral's name for it is "partial 16S ribosomal RNA". It matches the Rfam family "Bacterial small subunit ribosomal RNA", at positions 524 to 776 of the family's 1533-position model. The record is from RNAcentral.
UACGUAGGGGGCGAGCGUUGUCCGGAAUUAUUGGGCGUAAAGGGUGCGUAGGCGGUGCGGUAAGUCUUCUGUGAAAUCUACGGGCUUAACUCGUAGUCUGCAGGAGAAACGGCCGUGCUUGAGUAUGGGAGAGGUGAGUGGAAUUCCUGGUGUAGCGGUGAAAUGCGUAGAUAUCAGGAGGAACACCUGUGGCGAAAGCGGCUCACUGGACCAUAACUGACGCUGAGGCACGAAAGCUAGGGGAGCAAACAGG